UGCGUACGCUGGCGGUGGGCUUAACACAUGCAAGUCGAACGGAAAGGCCCUGCUUUUGUGGGGUGCUCGAGUGGCGAACGGGUGAGUAACACGGGUGUAACCUGCCCUUGACUUUUGGAUAGCUUCAGGUAACUGGUGCUAAUACCGGAUAGGAGCUCCUGCUGCAUUGUGGGGGUUGGAAAGUUUCGGCGGUUGGGGAUUGACGCGCGGCUUAUCAUCUUGUUGGUGGGGGGGUGGCUUACCAGGGCUUUGGCGGGUGGCCGGGCUGUGAGGGUGACCGGCCCCAUUGGGACUGCGAUACGGCCCAGACUCCUCCCGGGGGCAGCAGUGGGGACUAUUGCCCAAUGGGCGGAAGCACGAUGCAGCACCGCCGCGUGCGGGAUGACGGGCUUCGGGUUGUAAACCGCUUUCGCCUGUGACGAAGCGUGAGUGAAGGUAAUGGGUCAAGAAGCACCGGCUAACUACGUG
This 468-nucleotide ribosomal RNA is filed under the name uncultured bacterium. RNAcentral describes it as "partial 16S ribosomal RNA". It matches the Rfam family "Bacterial small subunit ribosomal RNA", at positions 30 to 507 of the family's 1533-position model. The record is from RNAcentral.